GUCCACCAAUCUAGAAAUAACUCUAAGCCGGCUUUUUCUAGGUUGUGAUGGAAACGUAUCACCAGCUACGUGCUAUCCAAUGUGGUCAAGCUGCAUUUCUAUUGGCUGGUUAACGAUGUUUAUACCAGCCCUAGUUGGCAACUUGCUUCAAUUAUGAAGACGCAACUGUGGAGAAAGAAUUCAAAACAGUGUAGUUGAAGUUUCCAUCCAUUUCGAAAUUAAACUCUUUUCUACCUGCGGAAUCAGAUCCAAAACAGGCAAGAACUUUGUCCAAUCUAACAUGAUCAUCAUCACAGUUCAGGAUUCUGUGCUGCAGUGCCUGUUAUGGCCGAGUGAUGACUACUGCUAAUUAAAUCGACAGAAUUAUAAUGGGUUUAGUUUAACCUUAAAAUUAAUAUUCGAAGCUUCUUCUGUUCUUGGAGGACUUUCACGCCAGAGAGAGAAUAUCAACUGCAUAUUCGAUAAGAUAUUCCUUUUCUUCAUUGCCACAAGAAAAGACCUUUCACUGGUGGGUGCGUGGGCGAUCCUAGAUCACCAUGUCCAUGUUUUGUAGCUGGCUGGGCGAAGGACAUGCUUAUCCCCUAACUAUUAUCUUAAUCCAAACGAUGAUAUAUCUCGAUGAAC
Long non-coding RNA from Populus euphratica (Euphrates poplar), 624 nucleotides. RefSeq lists it as uncharacterized. NCBI's taxonomy places the organism in Eukaryota, Viridiplantae, Streptophyta, Magnoliopsida, Malpighiales, Salicaceae. The transcript has 2 exons. The record is from RefSeq and is a predicted model, not a curated record.